GGGAGCAAACAGGACAGAUACCCUGGUAGUCCACGUUUUAACCGUUGCAAACUAGUUGUUGCUAUGCUAGACAUAGCAGUAAUGCAGUUAACACAGUAAGUGUGCCGCCUGGGGAGUACGGUCGCAAGAUUAAAACUCAAAGGAAUAGACGGGGACCCGCACAAGCGGUGGAGCAUGUGGUUUAAUUCGACGAUACGCGAAGAACCUUACCUGGCCUUGACAUAGACAGAAAUUUGCAGAGACGCAGAUGUGCUAGUUUACUAGAACUGUCAUACAGGUGCUGCACGGCUGUCGUCAGCUCGUGUCGUGAGAUGUUGGGUUAAGUCCCGCAACGAGCGCAACCCUCGUGUUUAGUUACUAACAGUUCGGCUGAGGACUCUAAACAGACUGCCUGGGUAACCAGGAGGAAGGUGAGGACGACGUCAAGUCAUCAUGGCCCUUACGGCCAGGGCUACACACGUGCUACAAUGGGGUAUACAAAGAGCUGCGAUACGGUGACGUGGAGCAAAUCUCAUAAAAUAUCUCCCAGUUCGGAUUGAAGUCUGCAACUCGACUUCAUGAAGUUGGAAUCGCUAGUAAUCGUAGAUCAGCAAUGCUACGGUGAAUACGUUCCCGGGUCUUGUACUCACCGCCCGUCACACCAUGGGAAUUGAAUUCAUUCGAAGCGGGGAUGCUAAAAUAGCUACCUUCCACAGUGGAUUUAGUAACUAGGGUGAAGUCGUAACAAGGUA
RNAcentral lists this ribosomal RNA (731 nucleotides) under uncultured Campylobacterota bacterium. RNAcentral's name for it is "bacterial SSU rRNA". It matches the Rfam family "Bacterial small subunit ribosomal RNA", at positions 764 to 1498 of the family's 1533-position model. The record is from RNAcentral. Lineage: Bacteria; Pseudomonadati; Campylobacterota.